UCUGCAGAGAUGCGGAAGUGCCUUCGGGAACUGUGAGACAGGUGCUGCAUGGCUGUCGUCAGCUCGUGUUGUGAAAUGUUGGGUUAAGUCCCGCAACGAGCGCAACCCUUAUCCUUUGUUGCCAGCGGUCCGGCCGGGAACUCAAAGGAGACUGCCAGUGAUAAACUGGAGGAAGGUGGGGAUGACGUCAAGUCAUCAUGGCCCUUACGACCAGGGCUACACACGUGCUACAAUGGCGCAUACAAAGAGAAGCGACCUCGCGAGAGCAAGCGGACCUCAUAAAGUGCGUCGUAGUCCGGAUUGGAGUCUGCAACUCGACUCCAUGAAGUCGGAAUCGCUAGUAAUCGUGGAUCAGAAUGCCACGGUGAAUACGUUCCCGGGCCUUGUACACACCGCCCGUCACACCAUGGGAGUGGGUUGCAAAAGAAGUAGGUAGCUUAACCUUCGGGAGGGCGCUUACCACUUUGUGAUUCAUGACUGGGGUGAAGUCGUAACAAGGUAACCGUAGGGGAACCUGCGGUUGGAUCACCUCCUUACCUUAAAGAAGC
RNAcentral lists this ribosomal RNA (548 nucleotides) under Salmonella enterica subsp. enterica serovar Meleagridis. RNAcentral's name for it is "bacterial SSU rRNA". It matches the Rfam family "Bacterial small subunit ribosomal RNA", at positions 997 to 1533 of the family's 1533-position model. The record is from RNAcentral. Lineage: Bacteria; Pseudomonadati; Pseudomonadota; Gammaproteobacteria; Enterobacterales; Enterobacteriaceae.